GUGGAUUAGAUACCCCAGUAGUCCACGCCGUAAACGAUGUCGACUAGCCGUUGGGAUCCUUGAGAUCUUAGUGGCGCAGCUAACGCAUUAAGUCGACCGCCUGGGGAGUACGGCCGCAAGGUUAAAACUCAAAUGAAUUGACGGGGGCCCGCACAAGCGGUGGAGCAUGUGGUUUAAUUCGAAGCAACGCGAAGAACCUUACCUGGCCUUGACAUGCUGAGAACUUUCCAGAGAUGGAUUGGUGCCUUCGGGAACUCAGACACAGGUGCUGCACGGUUGUCGACAACU
RNAcentral lists this ribosomal RNA (288 nucleotides) under uncultured bacterium. RNAcentral describes it as "partial 16S ribosomal RNA". It matches the Rfam family "Bacterial small subunit ribosomal RNA", at positions 773 to 1060 of the family's 1533-position model. The record is from RNAcentral.